Molecule: ribosomal RNA, 955 nt
Filed under: Vibrio sp. BL0118
Lineage: Bacteria; Pseudomonadati; Pseudomonadota; Gammaproteobacteria; Vibrionales; Vibrionaceae
Description: bacterial SSU rRNA
Rfam family: Bacterial small subunit ribosomal RNA
Source: RNAcentral
UGCAGUCGAGCGGAACGAGUUAUCUGAACCUUCGGGGAACGAUAACGGCGUCGAGCGGCGGACGGGUGAGUAAUGCCUAGGAAAUUGCCCUGAUGUGGGGGAUAACCAUUGGAAACGAUGGCUAAUACCGCAUAAUGCCUACGGGCCAAAGAGGGGGACCUUCGGGCCUCUCGCGUCAGGAUAUGCCUAGGUGGGAUUAGCUAGUUGGUGAGGUAAUGGCUCACCAAGGCGACGAUCCCUAGCUGGUCUGAGAGGAUGAUCAGCCACACUGGAACUGAGACACGGUCCAGACUCCUACGGGAGGCAGCAGUGGGGAAUAUUGCACAAUGGGCGCAAGCCUGAUGCAGCCAUGCCGCGUGUGUGAAGAAGGCCUUCGGGUUGUAAAGCACUUUCAGUCGUGAGGAAGGUAGUGUAGUUAAUAGCUGCAUUAUUUGACGUUAGCGACAGAAGAAGCACCGGCUAACUCCGUGCCAGCAGCCGCGGUAAUACGGAGGGUGCGAGCGUUAAUCGGAAUUACUGGGCGUAAAGCGCAUGCAGGUGGUUUGUUAAGUCAGAUGUGAAAGCCCGGGGCUCAACCUCGGAAUAGCAUUUGAAACUGGCAGACUAGAGUACUGUAGAGGGGGGUAGAAUUUCAGGUGUAGCGGUGAAAUGCGUAGAGAUCUGAAGGAAUACCGGUGGCGAAGGCGGCCCCCUGGACAGAUACUGACACUCAGAUGCGAAAGCGUGGGGAGCAAACAGGAUUAGAUACCCUGGUAGUCCACGCCGUAAACGAUGUCUACUUGGAGGUUGUGGCCUUGAGCCGUGGCUUUCGGAGCUAACGCGUUAAGUAGACCGCCUGGGGAGUACGGUCGCAAGAUUAAAACUCAAAUGAAUUGACGGGGGCCCGCACAAGCGGUGGAGCAUGUGGUUUAAUUCGAUGCAACGCGAAGAACCUUACCUACUCUUGACAUCCAGA